GACGAACGCUGGCGGCGUGCUUAACACAUGCAAGUCGAACGGAAAGGCCCUGCUUUUGUGGGGUGCUCGAGUGGCGAACGGGUGAGUAACACGUGAGUAACCUGCCCUUGACUUUGGGAUAACUUCAGGAAACUGGGGCUAAUACCGGAUAGGAGCUCCUGCUGCAUGGUGGGGGUUGGAAAGUUUCGGCGGUUGGGGAUGGACUCGCGGCUUAUCAGCUUGUUGGUGGGGUAGUGGCUUACCAAGGCUUUGACGGGUAGCCGGCCUGAGAGGGUGACCGGCGACCAGGCGCCUGCGGUACGGCCCAGACUGCUACGGUCCGCAGCAGGCGGGAAUAUGGCGGAGUGGCGCGGCGUCUGAUGCAGCGACGCCGCGAGCGUGAUGACCGGCUACGGGUUGAGAACCGCUGUGGCCUGAGACGAAGCGAGCGUGACGGUAAUGGGUAAGAAAGCCCCGGCUAACUACGUG
Molecule: ribosomal RNA, 468 nt
Filed under: uncultured bacterium
Lineage: Bacteria
Description: partial 16S ribosomal RNA
Rfam family: Bacterial small subunit ribosomal RNA
Source: RNAcentral